AUUGAACGCUGGCGGCAGGCCUAACACAUGCAAGUCGAACGAGUGGCGGACGGGUGAGUAAUGUAUGGGAAACUGCCUGAUGGAGGGGGAUAACUACUGGAAACGGUAGCUAAUACCGCAUACCAUCAGAUGCGCCCACAUGGGAUUAGCUAGUUGGUGGGGGAAAGGCUCACCAAGGCGAAGAUGCCUAGCUGGUCUGAGAGGAUGAUCAGCCACACUGGAACUGAGACACGGUCCAGACUCCUACGGGAGGCAGCAGUGGGGAAUAUUGCACAAUGGGCGCAAGCCUGAUGGAGCCAUGCCGCGGGUAUGAAGAAGGCCUUCGGGUUGUAAAGUACUUUCAGCGGAGAGGCGUUACCCGCAGAAAAAGCACCGGCUAACUCCGUGCCAGCAGCCGCGGUAAUAC
RNAcentral lists this ribosomal RNA (406 nucleotides) under uncultured bacterium. Its description in RNAcentral is "partial 16S ribosomal RNA". It matches the Rfam family "Bacterial small subunit ribosomal RNA", at positions 30 to 526 of the family's 1533-position model. The record is from RNAcentral.